This 320-nucleotide ribosomal RNA is filed under the name Cercomonas sp. RNAcentral's name for it is "SSU rRNA". The stretch from base 103 to 320 matches the Rfam family "Eukaryotic small subunit ribosomal RNA", at positions 737 to 955 of the family's 1831-position model. The record is from RNAcentral. Lineage: Eukaryota; Cercozoa; Cercomonadida; Cercomonadidae.
GAUUUCUGGUACGGCGCACUUGGCCCGCCUCGGCUACGAGGUUGUGUGCCGGUGUGCGCCUGCCAUCCUUCUGCAGAACGUUUCUACCUUCACUGGAUGAAACGGUAUGCAGAUCAUUUACUUUGAAAAAAUUAGAGUGUUUCAAGCAGGCUUUAUGCUAUGAAUACAUUAGCAUGGAAUAAUAAUUUAGGACUUCGGUUCUAUUUUGUUGGUUUCUAGGACUGAAGUAAUGAUUGAUAGGGAUAGUUGGGGGUGCUAGUAUUCAGCGGCCAGAGGUGAAAUUCUCGGAUUCGCUGAAGACUAACUUAUGCGAAAGCAUU